This 67-nucleotide transfer RNA is filed under the name Staphylinidae sp. BMNH 1274257. RNAcentral describes it as "tRNA-Thr". The record is from RNAcentral. Lineage: Eukaryota; Metazoa; Arthropoda; Insecta; Coleoptera; Staphylinidae.
GUUUUAAUAAUUUAAUUAAAAAAUAUUGGUCUUGUAAACCAAACUUAGAAAAUACUUCUUUAAAACU